UAGAUGAGGUGUCCGCUAGUUCCCUUUCAGUUGAAAUGCGGCUCCUCUUGAGCAUUAUCUCUAGGACCCUUUUUCCUAAGACCGGCCGCUUCGAUUUUGUAUCUGAGAGGGACCUAGCCCUCAUGUAUUACAUUCUCCAGGACACCCCAAUUAACUUUCCCAAACUAAUCUACAAAUACCUAUGUGAGCCACUAGACAGACCUAGG
RNAcentral lists this long non-coding RNA (206 nucleotides) under Phoenix dactylifera (date palm). RNAcentral's name for it is "long non-coding RNA (PDAC_LNC015610)". The record is from RNAcentral. Lineage: Eukaryota; Viridiplantae; Streptophyta; Magnoliopsida; Arecales; Arecaceae.